Leptonychotes weddellii (Weddell seal) is the source of this 915-nucleotide long non-coding RNA. RefSeq lists it as uncharacterized. Lineage: Eukaryota; Metazoa; Chordata; Mammalia; Carnivora; Phocidae. The record is from RefSeq and is a predicted model, not a curated record.
GAAGCCCUGCUGGAAGGCGGAGAGGCGGCGCGUCUUGCGGAUGAGGACGUCGGCGAUCUGGCACAUCUCGAUGCUGAUGAAGAACACGGUGUAGCAGGUAUACUGCUGGUAGAGGCGCUGCCCGAACGUCUGCGGGCCGGAGGGGAGCAGAAGCGGCCUGAGCCCGGAUGGGGAGGGCCUGCGGCCGUAGCCCCUCCCAGCAGAGGAUGGAGUCGGGGAGAAGAGAGAGACGCCGACUGCCAGGUCUAAGCCGACCUGAGGGUCCACCUGUGCGGCCACGUCUGUACUUCUGCCUGGGACCACCCGCCUGCCCGCCUGCGCGUCCCCAUCUGUCUGCCUUUGCACCCUGUGUCCAAGAGCGUCUGCGGGCCCCAUCCAUCACGGCUGUCGGCGGGGCUGGAGACUCACGAUGUCGGUGCAGAGCUCUAUGAAGAGGAUGGUGAUGCAGCCGAGGGGCAGGGGCACGCUGACAGUGAUGUAGAUGAGGUACACGGAGGCGGGCGGCGAUGUCCUCCACCGUCUCGCUGCCUUCCGAAAUGAUACCCACACUGGCCGCAAUGGCCUUGGCCGUGAUGGGGUGGUCACCCGUCACCAUGAUCACCUGUUGGGGAGGGGACCAUCAGACCCUUGAUGCCUUCAGUGCAGCCCACUCUCCUCGUCCUCCCUGCUGGCCAUCUACUGAUAGACCCGUUCGCUUAUUCAACCACUGAAUGUCAGGGACAAAACAGACGAAAAUCUCUGUUCUCAUGGAGCCAACCCUCUAGCGCGGGAGACAGAAGAGACGCAAACUAAGGGGACAAAUGAUACAGCCCGUUAGGAGAGAGGAAAAUUAAGCUGAGUAAAGGGGAUGGCAAAUGUUGGGUGGAAAAAGAGGUGUCGAUUUUUUUUUUUUUAAGAUUUUAUUUAUUUAUUUGA